CAUGCGAAGGCAGCGGGGCAAGUCUGUGCGGUUUUGGUUCCCUUUGCGUGUGGUUGGCGCUUGGAUCGGUAGUGUCGCAGAACGGCCGCGGACGUGUGGGCGGUGUGGGUAGUCGUAGGUAUCGCCAAGGGCCUUGUGUACCGUCUUGUUCGUAGGACAUGCAGGACUGACUCGGUGUCCGGAAUUCCAUGGUAUUCAUGUGAUUGACGUUUGCUCAAGGGUACCUGAAUUAAGAAGGUGAUUCAGGCUGAUCGAGCAUGGCUAACUUUAAGGUGCGGGUGCUGUACGACUUCGAGCCUCAGCCGGACACGAGCGAGAUCCGGCUGCGGGAGGGCGAGGUGCUCACCGUCACACGCACCGACGUGGGCGAGGGCUGGUGGGAGGGCGUCAACGAUCAGCAGCAGUGCGGUCUCUUCCCGGAGGCCUAUGUCGAGUCCGUUCCAGCGGCGGCCGCACAGCCGGCGCCGCCUCCGCCG
Pollicipes pollicipes is the source of this 476-nucleotide long non-coding RNA. RefSeq lists it as uncharacterized. NCBI's taxonomy places the organism in Eukaryota, Metazoa, Arthropoda, Thecostraca, Pollicipedomorpha, Pollicipedidae. The record is from RefSeq and is a predicted model, not a curated record. The transcript has 3 exons.